ACAACUCUCAGCAUUUCAGAUACGUGGAAAGCAGAACCAGACACUUCUACCAGCAACAAAUUGCAAGCUUUGCCCCCACCUUCACGUGUUCCUCCAAUAGCAUCUAAUGUCAAAAGCUGUGUUGGAAAUCUCUGGAUUUCUAAAGAGAACAAAAAGCAUGGUGAGCUGCAGAGUGCUUGGGAAAGGGCAGAGGAUCUCACUCAGACCUGUGACACCUGCAGCUGCCAAACGAGAAGCAAGUGAAGCAUGUCGGUGUUACACCUCAGCUCAGGCCCUUGCAAGGGCAGUUUCUUUACAGCCCUGUUUCUAGGUAACCAAAUCCCUGUCACACACAGCAUUCCACAUUGCCAGAGGACACUGACACGAGCAGCACAGCGACCGUUGCCAUCAAUAGGGAUGCAUGGGGACACGGUCACAGAAUCAGGAAGAACAGAUUUGCUCUAUCACUUCUGUCUCCUCCAGCAUUCAAACUCACAAAGAACUCAGCUCUCCAGUUCAACAGAAUCAAACCUCCCGGCCCCAAAAUUUGGAACUUAGAGGCAAAGAAAAACACAACAACAAGAGGUCAUCUGAGGUUCAAGAAGGUUGCAGACAUGUGAAGGAGCAACACUGAAGGCUUCAUUACUGCAGGACAUUGGAGCAAGAAUGUGGUUUCAAAAGGCAUCAAGCUGUAAGAUGGUAAUAAAUCGUUAUUGAUUUCCUUCUUCAGAAGGCAAGCUGAACUCUGUCUAAUAAAUUAAAUGACUGUGGAUGCAGGAAUAGUGCCCACGAUGAUUCGUGGCCCCAAACCUACGCUGAGCUCACAUGAGAGUAGGGAUCAGAUAACAGCAAAAUGCUGAGCUGGGGCACGGCUCUGCCCCGCUGCCAGCUGCUUCUAACUGCAUCAAACCUUCAAUUAAUGUAUUUCUGCAGUGCUGCU
This is a long non-coding RNA of Phasianus colchicus (ring-necked pheasant), 919 nucleotides long. RefSeq lists it as uncharacterized. NCBI's taxonomy places the organism in Eukaryota, Metazoa, Chordata, Aves, Galliformes, Phasianidae. The record is from RefSeq and is a predicted model, not a curated record.